UGAACGCUGGCGGCGUGCCUACUACAUGCAAGUCGAGCGAACGGACGAGAAGCUUGCUUCUCUGAUGUUAGCGGCGGACGGGUGAGUAACACGUGGAUAACCUACCUAUAAGACUGGGAUAACUUCGGGAAACCGGAGCUAAUACCGGAUAAUAUUUUGAACCGCAUGGUUCAAAAGUGAAAGACGGUCUUGCUGUCACUUAUAGAUGGAUCCGCGCUGCAUUAGCUAGUUGGUAAGGUAACGGCUUACCAAGGCAACGAUGCAUAGCCGACCUGAGAGGGUGAUCGGCCACACUGGAACUGAGGCACGGUCCAGACUCCUACGGGAGGCAGCAGUAGGGAAUCUUCCGCAAUGGGCGAAAGCCUGACGGAGCAACGCCGCGUGAGUGAUGAAGGUCUUCGGAUCGUAAAACUCUGUUAUUAGGGAAGAACAUAUGUGUAAGUAACUGUGCACAUCUUGACGGUACCUAAUCAGAAAGCCACGGCUAACUACGUG
This 495-nucleotide ribosomal RNA is filed under the name uncultured bacterium. Its description in RNAcentral is "partial 16S ribosomal RNA". It matches the Rfam family "Bacterial small subunit ribosomal RNA", at positions 30 to 507 of the family's 1533-position model. The record is from RNAcentral.